RNAcentral lists this transfer RNA (73 nucleotides) under Stegodyphus mimosarum. It matches the Rfam family "tRNA". Rfam says of the family: Transfer RNA (tRNA) molecules are approximately 80 nucleotides in length. Their secondary structure includes four short double-helical elements and three loops (D, anti-codon, and T loops). The record is from Rfam by way of RNAcentral. Lineage: Eukaryota; Metazoa; Arthropoda; Arachnida; Araneae; Eresidae.
GUCUUCGUGGUGCAGUGGUUAGCCCACUCGGCGCGUAUUCGAGAGGUCCGUGGUUCGAUUCCUGGCGAGGGCA